This 253-nucleotide ribosomal RNA is filed under the name uncultured bacterium. Its description in RNAcentral is "partial 16S ribosomal RNA". It matches the Rfam family "Bacterial small subunit ribosomal RNA", at positions 524 to 776 of the family's 1533-position model. The record is from RNAcentral.
UACAGAGGUCUCAAGCGUUGUUCGGAUUCAUUGGGCGUAAAGGGUGCGUAGGUGGCGCUGUAAGUCGGGUGUGAAAUUUCGGAGCUUAACUCCGAAACUGCAUUCGAUACUGCGGUGCUUGAGGACUGGAGAGGAGACUGGAAUUCAUGGUGUAGUAGUGAAAUGCGUAGAGAUCAUGAGGAAGACCAGUGGCGAAGGCGGGUCUCUGGACAGUUCCUGACACUGAGGCACGAAGGCCAGGGGAGCAAACGGG